This 492-nucleotide ribosomal RNA is filed under the name uncultured bacterium. RNAcentral's name for it is "partial 16S ribosomal RNA". It matches the Rfam family "Bacterial small subunit ribosomal RNA", at positions 29 to 507 of the family's 1533-position model. The record is from RNAcentral.
AGUGAACGCUGGCGGUAGGCCUAACACAUGCAAGUCGAACGGCAGCACAGUAAGAGCUUGCUCUUACGGGUGGCGAGUGGCGGACGGGUGAGGAAUACAUCGGAAUCUACUUUUUCGUGGGGGAUAACGUAGGGAAACUUACGCUAAUACCGCAUACGACCUACGGGUGAAAGCAGGGGAUCUUCGGACCUUGCGCGAUUGUAUGAGCCGAUGUCGGAUUAGCUAGUUGGCGGGGUAAAGGCCCACCAAGGCGACGAUCCGUAGCUGGUCUGAGAGGAUGAUCAGCCACACUGGAACUGAGACACGGUCCAGACUCCUACGGGAGGCAGCAGUGGGGAAUAUUGGACAAAGGGCGCAAGCCUGAUCCAGCCAUACCGCGUGGGUGAAGAAGGCCUUCGGGUUGUAAAGCCCUUUUGUUGGGAAAGAAAAGCAGCAGGUUAAUACCCCGCUGUUCUGACGGUACCCAAAGAAUAAGCACCGGCUAACUUCGUG